UCACAGAAGUAUAAAUUGCCUUCGCCAAGGGCACUGACACAAUCCCACAUCAUGGGAGACCCUGGCUUUUGGACGUAUUGAUAAUAAAAAUUUGGUUUGU
Thalassophryne amazonica is the source of this 100-nucleotide long non-coding RNA. RefSeq lists it as uncharacterized. The record is from RefSeq and is a predicted model, not a curated record. Lineage: Eukaryota; Metazoa; Chordata; Actinopteri; Batrachoidiformes; Batrachoididae. The transcript is spliced from 3 exons.